UACGUAGGGACUAAGCGUUGUUCGGAUUUACUGGGCGUAAAGGGCGCGUAGGCGGCAAUUCAAGUCAUCUGUGAAAUCUCCGGGCUUAACUCGGAACGGUCAGAUGAUACUGCUUUGCUAGAGUGCGGAAGGGGCAAUCGGAAUUCUUGGUGUAGCGGUGAAAUGCGUAGAUAUCAAGAGGAACACCUGAGGUGAAGACGGGUUGCUGGGCCGACACUGACGCUGAUGCGCGAAAGCCAGGGGAGCAAACGGG
This 253-nucleotide ribosomal RNA is filed under the name uncultured bacterium. Its description in RNAcentral is "partial 16S ribosomal RNA". It matches the Rfam family "Bacterial small subunit ribosomal RNA", at positions 524 to 776 of the family's 1533-position model. The record is from RNAcentral.